This 253-nucleotide ribosomal RNA is filed under the name uncultured bacterium. RNAcentral describes it as "partial 16S ribosomal RNA". It matches the Rfam family "Bacterial small subunit ribosomal RNA", at positions 524 to 776 of the family's 1533-position model. The record is from RNAcentral.
UACGAAGGGGGCUAGCGUUGCUCGGAACCACUGGGCGUAAAGCGCACGUAGGCGGGUUCUUAAGUCAGGGGUGAAAUCCUGGAGCUCAACUCCAGAACUGCCUUUGAUACUGGGAAUCUCGAGUCCGGGAGAGGUGAGUGGAACUGCGAGUGUAGAGGUGAAAUUCGUAGAUAUUCGCAAGAACACCAGUGGCGAAGGCGGCUCACUGGUCCGGUACUGACGCUGAGGUGCGAAAGCGUGGGGAGCAAACAGG